This 1155-nucleotide ribosomal RNA is filed under the name Triticum aestivum (bread wheat). RNAcentral's name for it is "partial small subunit ribosomal RNA". Lineage: Eukaryota; Viridiplantae; Streptophyta; Magnoliopsida; Poales; Poaceae. The record is from RNAcentral.
AUGCUGGCCUGCAUCGCGUGCUCCGCAAAGGAAGGCGGGGAGGACGGCUCCCGUGCCGCGGCCACGCCGGCCGUCAGGUCUCUCACCUCACAGCUCAAGGACAUGGUGCUCAAGUUCUCUGGCUCCAGCAAGCACUACAAGGGGGCGGCCGCCGGGAGCCCCUCUUUCAGGAGCUACCGACGCCCCUACCCGGGCUUCGUCGACGACACUACCUUCACGCCGAGGCCGGCGAGCGACGUCGGCGCGUACACGAGGACUACUGCGGCAGCUGCGAACGGGAGCGCGCGGGCCGCCUCGUCGGCAACGUGGGACAUGACCGGGCGCGGAUGGCCAGGCGUGGACGAGGAGGACGGCGGCGAGAUCGUCGCCGCUGGGGUGGACGCCGCCGUGCCCCGGGAGUGGACGGCGCAGGUGGAGCCCGGCGUGCAGAUCACCUUCGUCACGCUCCCCGGCGGCGGCAACGAUCUCAAGCGCAUCCGCUUCAGCCGUGAGAUGUUUAACAAGUGGGAGGCGCAGCGGUGGUGGGGAGAGAACUACGACCGCAUCGUUGAGCUGUACAACGUGCAGACGUUCAGCGGCCGGCAGCAGGGGGGCUCCACUCCGACGUCCUCCGUCGACGACUCGCUUCUGAGAGAUUCGUCCUAUUCCCGGGGCGGCUCCACGAGGGACAGCCCGGUCGUCAUGAUGCCGCCGCCGCCGCCGUCAUCCUCGUCGAGCAAAGACCCGAUGUCCCGUAGCGUGUCCUGCAAGGCGAUGAUGCCCCCGCCGUCGGGGCCUUACGGGGCGGGGCCAUCCACCAGGGCGGCGUACUACCCGUCCGCGGCGGCCGUGCCCGACCCGUCCGACCACGUGUGGGCGCACCACUUCAACAUGCUCAACUCCGCGGCGGUCGGCGGGCAUUCCUCCUACGACCCGUCGCGCGCCACCACCUCCUCCCGCGACGAGGCCUCCGUGUCCAUCAGCAACGUCAGCGACAUGGAGGCGACGGAGUGGAUCGAGCAGGACGAGCCCGGCGUGUGCCUCACCAUCCGCGAGCUCGGCGACGGCACGCGCGAGCUCCGCCGCGUCCGGUUCAGCCGGGAGAGGUUUGGCGAGGACAGGGCAAAGGUGUGGUGGGAGCAGAACAGAGACAGAAUACAGGCGCAGUAUCUGUAG